Molecule: ribosomal RNA, 459 nt
Filed under: uncultured bacterium
Lineage: Bacteria
Description: partial 16S ribosomal RNA
Rfam family: Bacterial small subunit ribosomal RNA
Source: RNAcentral
CCUACGGGAGGCUGCAGUGAGGAAUAUUGGUCAAUGGUCGGGAGACUGAACCAGCCAAGCCGCGUGAGGGAUGAAGGUACAGAGUAUCGUAAACCUCUUUUGUCAGGGCACAAAGGCGGGGACGUGUCCCCGGAUGAGUGUACCUGAAGACAAAGCAUCGGCUCACUCCGUGCCAGCAGCCGCGGUAAUACGGAGGAUGCGCGCGUUAUCCGGAUUUAUUGGGUUUAAGGGGUGCGCAGGCGGUCUGUUAAGUCCGCGGUAAAAGCCCGGGGCGCAACCCCGGCCCGCCGUUGAAACUGGCAGUCUCGAGUUGGAGAGAAGUAUGCGGAAUGCGCGGUGUAGCGGUGAAAUGCAUAGAUAUCGCGCAGAACUCCGAUUGCGAAGGCAGCAUGCCGGCUCCACACUGACGCUGAGGCACGAAAGCGUGGGUAUCGAACAGGAUUAGAUACCCUAGUAGUC